CCCUUAGAUGUUCUGGGCCGCACACGCGCUACACUGAAGGAGGCAGCGUGUACUCCUGGAUCGAAAGAUUUGGGUAACCCGCGAAUCUCCUUCGUGCUAGGGAUUGAGGUUUGCAAUUAUCCUUCAUGAACGAGGGAUUCCCAGUAAGUGCAAGUCAUAAGCUUGCGCUGACUACGUCCCUGCCCUUUGUACACACCGCCCGUCGCUACUACCGAUUGAAUGAUUUAGUGAGGACUUCGGACUGGGACCGAUGCGGCUUUCGGGCUGCGUCGGUAUUCUGGAAAGAUGUCCAAACUGUAUCAUUUAGAGGAAGUAAAANUCGUAACA
Molecule: ribosomal RNA, 327 nt
Filed under: uncultured eukaryote
Lineage: Eukaryota
Description: partial 18S ribosomal RNA
Rfam family: Eukaryotic small subunit ribosomal RNA
Source: RNAcentral